UCCUUUGUAGUGUAAUGGCUAUCACGGUUCGCUCUCAUUUGAAGAAUUUAAUUCGAAAGAUUGCGCCGAGCAGAUCCGGGUUCGAUUCCCGGCAAGGGAG
Lodderomyces orthopsilosis Co 90-125 is the source of this 100-nucleotide non-coding RNA. The record is from the annotation of a RefSeq genome assembly. Lineage: Eukaryota; Fungi; Ascomycota; Pichiomycetes; Serinales; Debaryomycetaceae.